ACAUGACCGACGCUGGUCAAAGUGUAGUAUCUGUUCUUAUCAGCUUAAUAUCUCAUACGGUUUGUAUUUGGAUUUAGGAUAUCAAACUUACUUUUGCAAGUUGGCGGAGCGCUUAAAAUCCUGCUUCAACUCCACCGCGGGUUGACCCGGUAAUGCGCUUUCUUCGGGAUCGGUCCCCGGUUU
Molecule: small nuclear RNA, 183 nt
Organism: Dermacentor andersoni
Lineage: Eukaryota; Metazoa; Arthropoda; Arachnida; Ixodida; Ixodidae
Product: U2 spliceosomal RNA
Source: RefSeq, a predicted model, not a curated record